This 942-nucleotide ribosomal RNA is filed under the name Lactobacillus acidophilus. Its description in RNAcentral is "bacterial SSU rRNA". It matches the Rfam family "Bacterial small subunit ribosomal RNA", at positions 546 to 1493 of the family's 1533-position model. The record is from RNAcentral. Lineage: Bacteria; Bacillati; Bacillota; Bacilli; Lactobacillales; Lactobacillaceae.
CGGUUAUUGGGCGUAAAGCGAGCGCAGGCGGAAGAAUAAGUCUGAUGUGAAAGCCCUCGGCUUAACCGAGGAACUGCAUCGGAAACUGUUUUUCUUGAGUGCAGAAGAGGAGAGUGGAACUCCAUGUGUAGCGGUGGAAUGCGUAGAUAUAUGGAAGAACACCAGUGGCGAAGGCGGCUCUCUGGUCUGCAACUGACGCUGAGGCUCGAAAGCAUGGGUAGCGAACAGGAUUAGAUACCCUGGUAGUCCAUGCCGUAAACGAUGAGUGCUAAGUGUUGGGAGGUUUCCGCCUCUCAGUGCUGCAGCUAACGCAUUAAGCACUCCGCCUGGGGAGUACGACCGCAAGGUUGAAACUCAAAGGAAUUGACGGGGGCCCGCACAAGCGGUGGAGCAUGUGGUUUAAUUCGAAGCAACGCGAAGAACCUUACCAGGUCUUGACAUCUAGUGCAAUCCGUAGAGAUACGGAGUUCCCUUCGGGGACACUAAGACAGGUGGUGCAUGGCUGUCGUCAGCUCGUGUCGUGAGAUGUUGGGUUAAGUCCCGCAACGAGCGCAACCCUUGUCAUUAGUUGCCAGCAUUAAGUUGGGCACUCUAAUGAGACUGCCGGUGACAAACCGGAGGAAGGUGGGGAUGACGUCAAGUCAUCAUGCCCCUUAUGACCUGGGCUACACACGUGCUACAAUGGACAGUACAACGAGGAGCAAGCCUGCGAAGGCAAGCGAAUCUCUUGCUGUUCUCAGUUCGGACUGCAGUCUGCAACUCGACUGCACGAAGCUGGAAUCGCUAGUAAUCGCGGAUCAGCACGCCGCGGUGAAUACGUUCCCGGGCCUUGUACACACCGCCCGUCACACCAUGGGAGUCUGCAAUGCCAAAGCCGGUGGGCCUAACCUUCGGGAAGGAGCCGUCUAAGGAGGGCAGAUGACUGGGGUGAAGUCUACAACC